This is a long non-coding RNA of Aquila chrysaetos chrysaetos, 4363 nucleotides long. RefSeq lists it as uncharacterized. The record is from RefSeq and is a predicted model, not a curated record. The transcript is spliced from 2 exons. Lineage: Eukaryota; Metazoa; Chordata; Aves; Accipitriformes; Accipitridae.
CUGAGUAAAUUCGGAGACCAUAUAUUCUUGCAGGGAAGGAGCAAAACUCUUUAGAUUGUGUAAAUAUAAUCUUGCAAAUAUAUACUAUCGCCUGUAGGGAAAAAAAAAUCGUGUACGGAAAGCAAAAAACUUAUUUCUCUUCUUUAAUCCUGAAGGAGAAUUAUCAGAGAAAAUCAGUAUAUUUCUAAUGAUGGACCUCAUCAUCCCUCCAAACUUCAGUACUGAGAACCAUAACAGUACAGGCUUCUGGUCUCAGUCUGCUGGAAAAGAGGAUUUCCUAGAGCCAGCAAAUGAUGUCUGAAUGGAUGAAUUUUUAUUUCCAGUGGAAUCCUUCCACAGAGGAUCACGUUCAUGCCCUGCCAUUUUACAUGUUGGACCAAGAUCUCCAGAGUGGCUGGGGAACCUCCAUCCCUGAAGCUUUUAAGAGCAGACUACACAAAGCCCUAAACAACCUGGUCUGAAUUCAGUGUUGACCCUGCUUUAGGCAGGAGUUGGGACCACAAGUUUUGGUGAUUUUACAGUUCUAGCACCUGCCCCAAAAGAAACCCUGCAAAGAUAUCCAGGGGUAUUUCAGGGAUCCUAUAUGGAGUGGCUGCCUGAAUUCCUUCUUUUUAGAGUGCAGUUUUGCUGUUCCUGGCAAGACCGUGCAGUCUACUGUGAAUAAAAAGAUUGCUAUGAAUUAGCAAAUCAAUCAACCAAUUAAUUAAUCAGUUCUGCAGUGAUGAAGAGUAAAAAGAAAGAAAGAUGAGGCAAUUUUUGUGCAAAACAUAUGUGCCAUGUAAAGAGCAAAAAAUAUUUAAUCUUCUUACAGCUACUACCAUUUAUCAGUUUACCUAGUCAUAUAUCCAUGAUUGCAAUGCUUGUAAAAUGGCAGUGCUGUAAAUAGCUGGCCCCAGAGGGCUUUCUAGGCUAGUGAUGCCAAAGAAUUAAUUUGGACUGAGAUAUGAAAUUAAGGUUUUGUUCCAAGGCAAAAGGGGAAUAAAAGAACAUAUUGGUAAAUCUGUGCGAAAGGAACCAGCAUCAGCAAAACUAUCUUCCCUUUUGAAAAACAAAACCAGCUAAAACCCUUUAGUAAUAUCCACUGUUUCCUUGAUACAUAAUACACUGUGCAUAUGGUGAAAUGUCAAAGUGCUCUUCCAGACCCACAAAAGAAACAAAGGUACAGAAAAACCACUUAAUAUAACACUAAUACUUCCAGAGGGGUGGCACUAAUUCUGUCACUCUAUUCAGAGAAAAGUACGAAGCAUUCAGCUACAUUUUCUUUUGAGUUACCAGAUGGUCCUUCUAAGAGAGAAAAAAUAUUGUCUAUGAAUUGAUAGUGUACUUGCUCUAUCUGCUUACCUCUCUGAGAUAAGGUUGCAUGAGAACCUCUAACUGUUAUAAAACACCUGCUCUGAUAAUAAACAAAACAAGUUAGGGACAGAAAGAAAAUAGUCUUGUGAUCAUGUUAGAAGGCUUGUUGAACAUGCUUUAUCUGAAAGCUUGAAAGGCUUCCACAGAUGUAUCAUCUUUGGAAUGUCAGAUCUUCUGACCCCAUCACUACAAAAAAUCAUCUUUAUGCAACCGAUUUAUAAUAGAACAUUUUAUUAAUGAAUACAGACACCAUUUACCUUUCAGUGCCAGGUAUUUUAUUUAUUAAUAGGGAACAUUUUAUUUGCACCCAUAGACUGUACUUAACUCUCAUUUUGCUUAAGCUAAGAAGUGUAGUAUAUUUACAAGCUGGGAAUUCCUGUUUCCAGAGGUCUGAAGUAUAUACCUUGCUCACGUGUCUAUGAACUAAGAUCCAUAAUUCUCAAAUAAAUGCUUCUUUCUUAAAGAUGAUUUUGACACUGCUGAUGAAGAAAUGCUGACCUUCUCAGAACACUCUGAGAAUUGCUGAGUACAUGAAUGUUAAUUUAGACAAAUUCAGAGUGGAAAUUAUUGCCUUCACUGAUUGCCAUGGCAAAACCUCUAUGUUUUUGUGUUUUCAGAUCCAGAAGAUAUGGUUUUCUGCUAAGUACACUUCCAUCAAACAUAAUUUAACUCUGGAUCAUUGAAUGGUAGAACAUUAGAUCAAAUAACAUUUCUGCUCCUUCAGGUCUUGCCUGUGAAGAUGGUAUCUCUCUAACUUUGCUGCAUAUAUUUUACCACUUUGAUGAUAUGGAUUUCAAGUGCACUACAGUCCAGGGAGAACCCUCCAUUGAUUUCUGAAGCUUUUAAAUGAACCUUGAUCAGCUUAUUAGUAAAACAAGACAUGCAUUCCUUAGAAAUAGUGGGGAAAAAAAUUUCACAAGGACUGUUACUAUGACAUUCUUUCUGUGACUUUUGUAGUUCAGUCAUGUACCCCAAUAUCUUACUGCAUGCCAGAGAGCUUUUAGUUUAAUCAACAGUCAUUUCAAGAUGUUUCUGCCUUUUGUCUGUUAACUCUGGUACUGCUUUCCCUGCACUUGGCCCAUGCAGAGGUGCUAGGGCACUUGUUAUGGUGUCUCAGGUGUCCCAGUACCUGAAUUUGCUGCAUUUAAGUCAAGGAAUGCUUGCUGGUAACUGUUACCCAGUUACCUUGAAUUCCAGUUAACUUAACAAAAGCAGAGUACACAAAACUAUUCAUUUGUCAUGUGCAGAAUAAAAUAAAGUUAUAUUUUUUUUAGAAAAGAUGUAAGUGAAGGGAAAGGAAUAUUGUACGUAACUUACACAAAGAUUGUAUCAGAAGGUCUCCUUUUCCAUCACCCUGGCAACAACCUUUGCAUGGCACUCCUGUCUUAGCAAAGGGUCUUACAAGAGCAUCCUAGCCAAAGAUGCUUUUACAACCAAACUCUUUUUUCAGAUUUUCUAGGAGAUCUAAGACCUGUUUAAUCUUUCUUUCUGCAUCUCCCUCUGAAUUCACUCUUUUAUUAGGAGACUGGCUUUUUAUUAGCAUAAGAUUCUUUCCUUUCCAUAUUUAUGUAGAUGUCUGUCUUCCCAGCGUCCCACCCCCAGCACUUGACAAGUUAGUAAACAACUCUGUUUAAAAAAAGUGUAAAACUCCCCCCAUCUGUGGUGUCAAUUUGCCAUUCUUCAGUCUAGCAUGUGGCUGUAUCUAUACAUAUAUACCUGUAACAAUAAUCUGUACAUUAAUAUGAUGCAUAAGUCAAACUACUAAACAGCCUAAUUUAAUACAGUUUAUUAUUUGCACUGACUAGGCCCAUACCUGUUGGCAGACAAACACUUUGUGGUGACAACUGAAUUGGCGUGGUUGAUCCCCAAACUAUUUUCGAAUAACCACUUUUAUUCUACUACAAUGUAAAGACACAUUAAGGAGAAAUAAAGCUGGACCAUGUUCUUUUAAGCACAGUAAUCAACUUAGGUUUUUUACUAAUAUGUUACUAAUGCCUUAAUACAGGCAGACUUUUUAGUUGCAGCCACUGAAAUACAGCAAUUUGUUAUCUGAGAAGGUAAUUAGAAAGUUCGAUUCUUUAGACAUUAUCUGGAGUAAAUAGAUGCACAACAGGAAAGAUCACUAAGGGCCACAUUGCUGUGAAACUAUAUCCUUAUGGAAUAAAGGGUACUUAGUGUCUGUAAAAGUAUCAACAUCUGGUGCACAACAUGAAGUGGAAAAGGUAGAUCAUUUGGCACUGUAUUGUGAACUGCCCUGGCAGCCUUUGGAAAAAUAAUAGAGAUGUUUCUAAAAUGACUUGUGGCAAGGGGCCAAAUGCUGACAUUUUUCACACAGCUGGACCUACCACUUAACCCAAUGAAGUUCUGUAUGAAUUUCAGCACAGGGCAAGAAUCUAUCUGUUUAUUGUAUAUUCAUUUUAAUAAUCUGGUUGACCUUGUACUUUCUAAGCUUUGAAUAAAAUCUAUUCGGUUAUCUGAAAAGCUAAGCUUGCUACAGACACAUUAUGAAGUUUGGUAGUAUUCGAUGCUGUCUUCAUUUUGCUGCAUAUAAUGGUCCUAUUCUUCACCGUUCAUGAAUUAUGUAGGUCAGUACAUACUCAUGCCAGGAAAACCUUUCUGGCACCUCACACAAUCAUGUAUUUUGUAUAUGUAUUGACGUACGUUAUUGUGAUCCUCUCAGAAAUAUUUCAGGGAAAUACUAAAAUGUUAAAAUGACUAUUUUUGUUUGUCUCCAUCUGUAAUGUCAAGUGAAUUAGUUGUCAUGAAUGCAACUGUGCAGAGAUCAAGAAGGAGAAAAAUAAAAAAUGAAGAAAGGUUUAAAAGUAGAUGUUUGGCCAAAAAUAGCUCUGCUAUACAUAAAACAUAACUGGUGUGUUAUGGUUUGAUUUUGCAGGUCUACAGGUUUAUAUACUUGAGGCCAGGGAUAUUGUUCAUUGUAAAGAUAUAAAUGUAAAGUUUCUCAGAAAUUUUCCUGUGCAAUGGUUAAUUAAAUAAAGGAGAUUCACUUAUG